GGAAUGUGCCUGGCUCCCUGUAUGCCACUCAUCUAGAGCAACAAACUUCUGCGAGAGGUUGCCUAUGAUGGAUGGCGUGCACGGAGCCAAGCAUAUUCC
Molecule: microRNA precursor, 99 nt
Filed under: Oryza sativa (Asian cultivated rice)
Lineage: Eukaryota; Viridiplantae; Streptophyta; Magnoliopsida; Poales; Poaceae
Also listed under: 2 other names
Description: miR160c stem-loop (osa-MIR160c)
Gene: osa-MIR160c
Rfam family: mir-160 microRNA precursor family
About the family: The hairpin precursors (represented here) are predicted based on base pairing and cross-species conservation -- their extents are not known. In this case the mature sequence is excised from the 5' arm of the hairpin.
Source: miRBase by way of RNAcentral